Molecule: transfer RNA, 73 nt
Filed under: Candidatus Daviesbacteria bacterium RIFCSPHIGHO2_02_FULL_39_8
Lineage: Bacteria; Candidatus Daviesiibacteriota
Also listed under: 1 other name
Description: tRNA-Arg
Rfam family: tRNA
About the family: Transfer RNA (tRNA) molecules are approximately 80 nucleotides in length. Their secondary structure includes four short double-helical elements and three loops (D, anti-codon, and T loops).
Source: RNAcentral
GGCCCUGUAGCUCAACGGAUAGAGCAGUCCCGUCCUAAGGGAAAGGUUGUGAGUUCGAUUCUCGCCAGGGCCG